RNAcentral lists this ribosomal RNA (429 nucleotides) under Acidobacteriota bacterium. Its description in RNAcentral is "Acidobacteria bacterium partial 16S ribosomal RNA". It matches the Rfam family "Bacterial small subunit ribosomal RNA", at positions 355 to 776 of the family's 1533-position model. The record is from RNAcentral. Lineage: Bacteria; Pseudomonadati; Acidobacteriota.
UGGGGAAUUUUGGACAAUGGGGGAAACCCUGAUCCAGCCAUCCCGCGUGUGCGAUGAAGGCCUUCGGGUUGUAAAGCACUUUUGGCAGGAAAGAAACGUCAUGGGUUAAUACCCCGUGAAACUGACGGUACCUGCAGAAUAAGCACCGGCUAACUACGUGCCAGCAGCCGCGGUAAUACGUAGGGUGCAAGCGUUAAUCGGAAUUACUGGGCGUAAAGCGUGCGCAGGCGGUUCGGAAAGAAAGAUGUGAAAUCCCAGAGCUCAACUUUGGAACUGCAUUUUUAACUACCGGGCUAGAGUGUGGCAGAGGGAGGUGGAAUUCCGCGUGUAGCAGUGAAAUGCGUAGAUAUGCGGAGGAACACCGAUGGCGAAGGCAGCCUCCUGGGAUAACACUGACGCUCAUGCACGAAAGCGUGGGGAGCAAACAGG